Small nucleolar RNA from Xenopus tropicalis (tropical clawed frog), 201 nucleotides. Its record names the gene SNORA74. It matches the Rfam family "Small nucleolar RNA SNORA74". From Rfam's summary of the family: U19 belongs to the H/ACA class of snoRNAs. snoRNAs bind a number of proteins (including dyskerin, Gar1p and Nop10p in the case of the H/ACA class) to form snoRNP complexes. This class are thought to guide the sites of modification of uridines to pseudouridines by forming direct base pairing interactions with substrate RNAs. NCBI's taxonomy places the organism in Eukaryota, Metazoa, Chordata, Amphibia, Anura, Pipidae. The record is from Ensembl.
CCCAGCAGUUGUCAGCUGUCUGGCACUUAUCCAUGCCUGUUAUGGUGUUACACUGCUGGUAGAUAAAGUCACUGCCCCUUAUGCCAAGUGCCACUGUUACUGUUCUGGUUACAUGUCACUUGCAUUGGGCAGUGCCAGGCUUCCUCGAGAGUGCGCUGAACAUUGGUUUUAAAUGUUAGUGCUAGUCUGGAAGCACACAUG